Macaca mulatta (Rhesus monkey) is the source of this 3239-nucleotide long non-coding RNA. The record is from Ensembl. NCBI's taxonomy places the organism in Eukaryota, Metazoa, Chordata, Mammalia, Primates, Cercopithecidae.
AUGGACAGACGCCUACUAUGCACCAGCACGCUGCGGCGCUCCAGGGACGGAGAGGAGCACACUCUCGCAGAGCUCACCAGCGAGUGGGUGGGAGAGGAGUGCGUACAAACAGGACAGCUCGGACAAGCGCCAGGACUCAGCCUGUUGCCGCAGCUCCUGGGAGUGCCUGCUGAGGGCCAAGUACUGGGGUACAAGGAGGCAAGAGUGGCGGCAGAGGAGCCCAGGGACUGCGUGGGAGUCAAAUCACAGAAGAGCGGCGGCUUCCCCCAGAGCGGCCUCACGUGCAUCCGACUCGUUCAUCCUCAUAACCCGCCAGCUGAGUCCUCAGAGGGCAAAUCGUCUCAGAAUUACCAGGGAUGCGUGGCCGGCUACACUUAGGGGAAGCUUCCCAAACCCAGGCCUCCCUGCAGGGUGAAGGAGCCACAUUCGCUCAAACACUGGAGCCUCAUUCAUUCAUUCAUUCAUUCAUUCAACAAUCACUGAGACUGUAUGCGCCACCCUGUGCUGGCCCUGCGGAUGUGGAAAUUCAUCCAAUUCAGUCCCAGAACUCAAGGAGCUCGGAGUCUGGUGGGAAGAUGGGUGUGUAAACGUGAAUCCACGGAGGUGGUGAGAUCUUUGACAGGGGAUGGCGGAAUGCUGCAGAAGCACAAAGGGAAGGUGGGAGGGCUUCCUGGAGGAGGCCUGCUUUGGCUGGGUCUUUGGGCUGCUCUAGACCCUGGAAGCCCUUAGAGCCCGACCCCCUGCCUGGUGCUGCACCCAUUUUACAGAGGAGAGCACUGAGGUCCAGAUAGGGUGAAUGACUUGCCAGGGUCAUAAAAGGAAAGGCAGCUUCGUAUCCGACCUGAAUAAAUAAUGUAUUCUGGAUUUUAAUUAUUUAAAAAGCUUCCAUUUCACUGAGUCUCAUCAAAAAUAGAAACUCUCUUCCUUUCACUCUAGAUUUCUCUUGAAGGUGGCAGGUGGGCGCAGAGGCGGGGCCCGGGCCUCUGAAGUGUCCUGCUUGUGGCAGCAGCUGUGAUGCAGAGGCCACGAGCCCCCAGCCUCUGCCGGAGAAAUGACAAGUGACCGUCAUCCUGGAGCCUCCCCCUUGCCUUAGGCCACUCCAUACCUGGUCCUCAGAUGGGUGGUCAGCGCCCCGCUGUUCCCGCAGGACUUGGGUGGUCCCCCAAGUCCACCAGCCUCUCUUUCCUCCUGGGCACACGGGGGUCAUGACAGCACCUCUUGGAGAUGUUGAAAGAAUCUUGCGUUGGGUGUCUGUGGGGGGAGGGGGUCCCAUCUCUGUCCCCAGACCUGACACACCGUAGACCCCCAACCUAUGGACAUUUCCAUCCUUCAAGGACAGGCCUUAGAGAAAGGAAGAAAACCAAAUCGCCAAGAGGUGUGAGAAGAAAGGGCUGGGGAGGGAAAGCCAGGACACACCGGCCUACUGUUGGCCAUUGGGGUGAUCUUGUGGCUUUGAAAAUCCAGAUCAGUUCCCCAAAACUCAGCCAGUCAGGGGCUCCCGCUCGCCACUGUGCUCUGUAGCAUUCCCGCCCCUUGUUCCUCGGUAUCUUACCAAGCCCACAUCACACAGAUCAGCUUCUUUUCCAUGGGAAGCAGCCAACGACAGCUCCAACCCAGCACCAGACAGAAUCUCACUGAGGCUUCCAAGCGCCACCACCCCCAUCUGUCUUCCUUGUCGUGUGCCCCUGGGGCUUAGCUCUGAACACAGACAUCACCCAAAAAGGGUAGGCCACCACAAGUCAAGGUCUCACUUCCAAACCAGAGCACACUCAACUCCAGUCCACCUCUCCCUGCUUCGCUGUCCCCAGACCCCAUCUGUAACAUUUGCAUCUCUGUUGGAGAAGGUCGAAGGCCAACCACCAAACCCCAAGCCCCCUCCAGCUCCUGCCCCCGCCACACUGCCCUUGACAUUCCUCCCUCACGCUGGGACCCUCCGCUGGGCUCUGUGAUGAACAAGCACUGCAAAACUCUGGGGGGCACUGCAGCUCUCCAGGUGAUUUCUAUUGAAUAAACACUGCCAGGUCCCAAACCGUCUGGGAGGUAAAUACUAUUACUAAGUAACGGGCAAGUGGUCAUGAGCUUUGGCGUGGCAGAAGCAGGGCAGAAAAGAAGGUCAGCGUCUCUGCCUCCAAUUCCCGCCCUUCCCCUCUCUCCAGCCUUCUUUAUCUCAUUUGAUCUGGACAGCUGUGGAGAGCUACCACUCCCCACUUUACAGGCUAGGGAGCCUCAAAAAGCAAAGCGACUUGCCCAGAGCUCUGGAACAAAUCCCUCAACCUCCACAGGGGCUGCAUGAAUGUCGCUGGUGGCUUAAACCACCAAAACGUGUUGUCUCCCAGUUCUGGAGGCCAGAAGUCCAACAGCAACGUGCAAGCAGGGUUGGUUCCUGCUGGGGCUGUAAGGGAGACUGCUCCAGGCCUCUCCCUCCGUGUCUGGCGGUUUGCUGGCCAUCUUCCACGUUCCUUGGCUUCUAGAUGCAUCUCCCAGUCUCUGCCUUCGUGCUCACAUGGCCUGUGUCUGUGUCCAAAUGUCCUAUAAAAAUAAGGACACUGGUCAUCGUGGGUUAGGGCCCACCCUACUCCAGAGUGGCCUCAUCUUCACAAAUCACAUCUGCAAUGACCCUGUUUCCAAAUACAGUCACAUUCUGAGUUCCGUGGGGUUAAUGUCAACGUGGGAAUUGGGAGACACAAUUCAGCCGUAAGGGAGGCUCAGGGGUCAUCCCCGGAGGUCAUCCCCAAAGGCAGGGUGUGCUCAUCCCAUCCUGACCCACAGAAGCCACUGUGCUCAUCCCAUCCCUACCCGCAGAAGCCACUGCAGAGGCAACUGGCCUGUCCCCAAGAAAGCUUCUCGAGGACCCCGACUUCUACCAAAAGGCUGAGGAGCACUUGGAGCGGGAAGGAAGGAGCUCAUGUGGAGGCCGUCCCACUUCCCCCGGGAGUCCCACUUCCAUCCUGAGAGCCUGGACCUGGACUGAGGGCAGAGUCUGCAGUUCCAGUCCCCGAGAUCCACUCUCCUGCCUGUGACUCCGGUCCCAGGGCUCAUCUCUGUGGUCCUUAAAGGCAGUGGCUGCAGCAGCAGGAGUGGGGAUGGCAGAAGGACGUCUACACAGGACUGCUUGGGAUCCCAGUUCCCACGUGUUAGCUGUGUAUCUUCAGAUAACUGACUUUUCCCUUCUGAACUUGAGUUUUCUCCUCCAGGAAAAAUGAGGCUUUGCAGGGUUGCUGUGGGGACAGCGCCUGAGC